Molecule: unclassified non-coding RNA, 330 nt
Filed under: soil metagenome
Description: partial contains 5.8S ribosomal RNA, internal transcribed spacer 2, and large subunit ribosomal RNA
Rfam family: 5.8S ribosomal RNA (bases 1-120)
Source: RNAcentral
GAUGAAGAACGCAGCGAAAUGCGAUAAGUAAUGUGAAUUGCAGAAUUCAGUGAAUCAUCGAAUCUUUGAACGCACAUUGCGCCCCCUGGUAUUCCGGGGGGCAUGCCUGUUCGAGCGUCAUUUCACCACUCAAGCCUCGCUUGGUAUUGGGCAACGCGGUCCGCCGCGUCCCUCAAAUCGACCGGCUGGGUCUUCUGUCCCCUAAGCGUUGUGGAAACUUUCGCUAAAGGGUGUUCGGGAGGCUACGCCGUAAAACAACCCCAUUUCUAAGGUUGACCUCGGAUCAGGUAGGGAUACCCGCUGAACUUAAGCAUAUCAAUAAGCGGAGGA